RNAcentral lists this ribosomal RNA (422 nucleotides) under uncultured bacterium. RNAcentral describes it as "bacterial SSU rRNA". It matches the Rfam family "Bacterial small subunit ribosomal RNA", at positions 355 to 774 of the family's 1533-position model. The record is from RNAcentral.
UGAGGAAUAUUGGGCAAUGCCCGCAAGGGUGACCCAGCAACGCCGCGUGGAGGAAGAAUGUCGUAAGAUUGUAAACUCCUGUUAGAGGGGAAGAAUAGUACCGGUUGGACCGGUAUAUGACUGUACCCUCAGAGAAAGCCCCGGCUAACUACGUGCCAGCAGCCGCGGUAAUACGUAGGGGGCAAGCGUUGUCCGGAUUUACUGGGUGUAAAGGGCGCGCAGGCGGGAUAAAAAGUCAGUGGUGAAAUCCUACAGCUUAACUGUAGAACUGCCUUUGAUACUUUUAUUCUUGAGUGCGGGAGAGAGAGACGGAAUUCCAGGUGUAGUGGUGAAAUACGUAGAUAUCUGGAAGAACACCAGUUGCGAAGGCGGUCUCUUGGUCCGACACUGACGCUGAGGCGCGAAAGCGUGGGGAGCAAACA